Molecule: non-coding RNA, 2362 nt
Organism: Lactuca sativa (garden lettuce)
Lineage: Eukaryota; Viridiplantae; Streptophyta; Magnoliopsida; Asterales; Asteraceae
Source: RefSeq, a predicted model, not a curated record
CGAGUCGCUGGCAGAAAAUUGACGCCUCGUUUUUUCAUUCCCACUUUUCUUCUUUUCUCGUUCGUUGGUUUAUUUUCAUUCCCACAGAUAUCUUUCCCAAAGCCCUAAUUGGCCUUAUGUCGACUCAAAUCCCUCUCACAUCCUCUUUGGCUUCCCUAUCGAUUCGUCUCCAUUCCUCAUUGCUCAUCAUUUCCCUGCCAGCGCCGUUCAAUCUUCUAUUGUCUCUUCAGAUCUCUUAGUAUAACUUCUCAACAAUCUCCAACCGAAGAGGAAGGAGAGUUGACUCUCAAAUCCGCUCGAGUCACGUUUCCGAUCAUGGCAACUAGGAAAAAUUGACCACAACUAAUCACCUUCGUCAUUUGGAGUCAAUGGCGACUCGCCCGUCGGGUGCCGGCAUGAUACCAAAGCUGAAUGUCGUGAUACUCGGUGAGUCUCUUGCAUCCGAGGAGGACGAUCUCGUAUUUCCCGGUCACGAUUUCUCCCAACAGGCACACGUACCCUCUCCUCAAAAGAGCACCAUUUCAGUACUUAGAGACGUACAACAGAUCAAUUGAAGAUCCUGGUGGCUUUUGGUAUGAUAUUGCGCAUCAGAAUUCUAUUGGAAAGAGAAAUGGGGUCAAUAGGUUUACUCAGAGAAUCUUGAUGUUAGAAAUGGGAACAUCAAAAUUGAGGAUGGCAUCACCAACAUCUGUUGUAAUUGCUUGGAUAAAAACAUAGAGUCUGGGAAUUGCGAUAAAGUUGCAGUUGUUUGGGGCUAAUUGCAAACAUGGCCCUUCUCAGGCAUAUGUUUGGGGAAUUGAAGAAAACCCUAAUUAUGGCCCUUCUUAGGAAGAUGUUUGGGGCUAGUGCCAAGAAGGACGUUCUAAAAUUCUGUCUCUUCUCUCUUUUGUUUAAUUUUAUGUCCCUCUAAUCGGAUGAUGAAACUGCCUGUUCUUCCUGAAUUUGGUUAAUUUACAGGUGAAAGUGGAGAAAAAAACCUGGAAAGUUGAUGCUGGAAGUAGAACUGUUGAUUUGGAACUGACGACUCUUUCAAGCACCCACCACGUGGAGCUGAACCCAAGUGAUGAUGGGUUCCAGGAGCGGUACAUUGUUCAAGAAAUCAUUAAAGAAAUGGCAAAGAACAGACCAAUUGACGUUAAAGGAAAGAAGGGUUUCAAAGUAUUAGUACUCAAUGAGGUUGAUAAACUUUCAAGAGAAGCACAACACUCUCUAAGAAGAACAAUUGAAAACUUCAGAGCAACUGAAACAAGCUAAUGAAACAGAUCAUCGUGCUAAAGUUAGUACUAGCAAAAAGAUUAUAGAUGCUAAACUUGCAAAAGAUUUUCAAGCAGUUCUAAAAGAAUUUCAAAAAGCUCGACGCCUUUCAGCUGAAAGAGAGACAACUUACACUCCUUUUGUUCCUCAAGCCGUUCUUCCUUCAAGUUAUGCAGCCAGUGAAAUCGAUAUAAGCUCAGACAAAAACUCAUAACAACGUGCACUUCUUGUGGAAUCUAGAAGACAGGUGGUAUUAUUGAGGAAAGAGAACAGGGGAUUCAAGAAAUACAUAAUCAAACUGGGGAAGUAAAUGAGAUUUCUAAAGAUCUUGCUGUUUUGGUUCAUGUACAAGGAGCCAUGAUUGUUGAUAUCGGGUCAAAUAUUGAGAAUUCUCAUGCUGCAACUGCACAAGCAAGAAUCCAACUUUCAGAAAGUAUAUUUAUUGCUCAUCAAAGGUUACUGAAGUUGUUCGUUCUGGUUGUCUUAAUGUGCAAAUAAGUGCACCAAAAGAAGACCAGAUUGUUAACGUUCUAGAAUUUAUUGGCAAAAAGGAGUUUAAGGAGGGCUUUAUUGUCAUUUGAGACAUGCCGUGUCCUGCAAUUAAGAUCAGUCUUGCACUUUUUCUUGUGUUUUCUUGUGUCCUGCAGUUAAGAUCAGUUAAGACCUUCUCAGUGGUUCGUAAUGGUUGAUACAAAUGUUCAAAGAUCAAAUCCCAAAAGAGAAAUUUCUGAAGACUAAUAUGCAAACAUGGAAAAAGUAAGUAGAACUUGGUUCACCUAAUUCCAUGGGGUCUAACAGGAAUCGGAAUCCAAUUUCAUUAUGGUCCUUUCGGAUGCAAUGCAAGAUAUGAAGCAAUGGGGAAUAUGUAUGUGGAAACUCAAAAUAUGAGACAAAAUUGAGAUUAUGGUACAUUAUACUUAGAAAUAAAAAUCAAUAAAUAUUAAACUUUGAUAUUUGAUCAUUUUGAUCAUUUUGGUAAACAUUGAUAUUUGAUGUUUUUGGAUGUUUUGUUAAAUUUUGAUAUUUGAUUUUAGUAUUUUAAUAUUAGUGUUUGGUCUUGGAUUGUAUAGUUAUAUGAUUCCUUUGGUAUUAAUUUGUUAUUGUUUAA